AUCCAGCUGACGAGUCCCAAAUAGGACGAAAUGCGCAUCCUGGAN
RNAcentral lists this non-coding RNA (45 nucleotides) under Trichobilharzia regenti. Lineage: Eukaryota; Metazoa; Platyhelminthes; Trematoda; Strigeidida; Schistosomatidae. The record is from RNAcentral.